CUAGGCUAUAUGCUGAUUAGAUAAUUGACUACCGUCGGCUGUAUAACAAUCGGUUUUUCACAAGUUUUCUUCGAGGCCUUUCAUUUGUUGACUCCAGUAACUGCUACUGUUGAGGCAAACGACCAAUUUAAAUGUUUUAAAAUUCCUACAGUACAUGACUCAGAAUAUUCACAUUAAUUCUUGAUACUUUAUAACAUCGCAAAAUCACUGUCCAAAAUUGAUUGCUAAGACCGCUCGUAAUCAAUGUAAUGAUAUUUUUCGUUUAAGUAAGUAAACAAAGGCAAUUUUCAGUUGAAGACUUCGAUUUCUGUCGUUAAGAAUUUGUACUGACCAGCAAGAAGGUUCUUUGCUUGUUCACUGUUACCGACAUAACCAGGGGGAAGUUGAUAUGUGUAUCCAAAAUUGCUGUAUGAAUGUUUGACUUGAGGUUGGUUACAAAUAUGCAGAUCAGCUCCUCCAGCAAAGAUUGGUCCGCACCCAAGGUGACAGUAAGUUGCAUACUGCUCCUGACCUUGCUUGAUGUUGGCAAUAAAUGGAGCAAGGUUGUCUUUGUUGCGUAGGGAGAAUAAAAAUGACGCGUUGGAAUGUUUAUAAACGCCUCCUUAAGAUU
Paramuricea clavata is the source of this 610-nucleotide non-coding RNA. Lineage: Eukaryota; Metazoa; Cnidaria; Anthozoa; Malacalcyonacea; Plexauridae. The record is from the annotation of a GenBank genome assembly.